Molecule: ribosomal RNA, 403 nt
Filed under: uncultured eukaryote
Lineage: Eukaryota
Description: partial small subunit ribosomal RNA
Source: RNAcentral
CAAAAAACAAACCGCAUACAACCAACCACGUUGUUGCUACCUUUUUGAAUUGCUGUUGCUGACUGUCGAACCACUUAACAUGAAUCGUCUCUGAUAUCGAUCGAAUCAAACAAUGCAAUCGAUGUCUGUUCAAUCGUUCACGGCUUUUGUUUAUGGUGCUUUUUGAUUUAAUUCUCCCGCCAAAAUAAAAUAAAUAAUACAUGUAAAUUCAGUGACAUUUUACAACAAGCCAAAAGUUAAAGAUAUGUAAACUGAUAACAAAACAUACUGCUUAUCGGAGCUAAUCAAAAUUCCUUUUUGCUGAAUGUUGGAGUGUAUUUUUAGAAAUUUUUGUCAUUUCUAUUUUAUUUUUCAUAUCACUUUAUCAGAUCUUAACGAUCCACGAUCGCAAUAGUGUUAGACA